AAUCUCAAUCCCCUUGGGUCUCUUGAUCUGGGGUGGACUUGGACCUGGGUGUCUGCCGUUUGUCGGCUUGCCUCAAAUGACUUAGUGGGAUCAGCAUCCACGGCCUGACGUGAUAAGUUUCGUCUGGCAUGGUGUGAGGCCCGCUCAUAACUGCCCCUUGUGGCGCUCUUUUGGA
Molecule: unclassified non-coding RNA, 175 nt
Filed under: uncultured Tremella
Lineage: Eukaryota; Fungi; Basidiomycota; Tremellomycetes; Tremellales; Tremellaceae
Description: partial internal transcribed spacer 2
Source: RNAcentral